AGAGUUUGAUCAUGGCUCAGGACGAACGCUGGCGGCGUGCUUAACACAUGCAAGUCGAACGGAAGGGUCUCUUCGGAGAUGCUCGAGUGGCGAACGGGUGAGUAACACGUGGGUGAUCUGCCCUGCACUUCGGGAUAAGCUUGGGAAACUGGGUCUAAUACCGGAUAGGACCACAUGCUGCAUGGUGUGUGGUGGAAAGUUUGUAAUGGUGUGGGAUGGGCCCGCGGCCUAUCAGCUUGUUGGUGGGGUGAUGGCCUACCAAGGCGACGACGGGUAGCCGGCCUGAGAGGGUGUCCGGCCACACUGGGACUGAGAUACGGCCCAGACUCCUACGGGAGGCAGCAGUGGGGAAUAUUGCACAAUGGGCGCAAGCCUGAUGCAGCGACGCCGCGUGGGGGAUGACGGCCUUCGGGUUGUAAACCUCUUUCACCAUCGACGAAGGCCUGCUUUUGGGUGGGUUGACGGUAGGUGGAGAAGAAGCACCGGCCAACUACGUGCCAGCAGCCGCGGUAAUACGUAGGGUGCGAGCGUUGUCCGGAAUUACUGGGCGUAAAGAGCUCGUAGGUGGUUUGUCGCGUUGUUCGUGAAAUUCCCUGGCUUAACUGGGGGCGUGCGGGCGAUACGGGCAGACUGGAGUACUGCAGGGGAGACUGGAAUUCCUGGUGUAGCGGUGGAAUGCGCAGAUAUCAGGAGGAACACCGGUGGCGAAGGCGGGUCUCUGGGCAGUAACUGACGCUGAGGAGCGAAAGCGUGGGGAGCGAACAGGAUUAGAUACCCCAGUAGUCC
RNAcentral lists this ribosomal RNA (786 nucleotides) under uncultured bacterium. RNAcentral describes it as "bacterial SSU rRNA". It matches the Rfam family "Bacterial small subunit ribosomal RNA", at positions 8 to 796 of the family's 1533-position model. The record is from RNAcentral.